Molecule: long non-coding RNA, 1128 nt
Organism: Solanum dulcamara
Lineage: Eukaryota; Viridiplantae; Streptophyta; Magnoliopsida; Solanales; Solanaceae
Exons: 3
Source: RefSeq, a predicted model, not a curated record
UUAUGCAGAAUUAAUUAAUGAGUUUAAUAAUUUCUUGGGUGUUGAUUUUUUAUGUUAACCCCACUUUUUGGUCUUGUCUUCUGCAACCAAAAAAAAAUUAAAAGGUAUAUCAAUGGCGUCUUCACUAUAGAGAAAGCUCUUACGCACGAUGCUGACGAACCCUAGCUCAAUAAAGAUUUGCAGCUGUCUUCAGUGUUUUUUGGCACAAAAAGCUCUUCAGCCACAGACGAUUUCUCCUUUCCGGAUUCAGAACACACUGAAUUGGUCAAUUUGAUUGAGAGUGAAGGGUAAAGUUGUCCACGUGGAGUAUAUUUGAUUGAGAGUGAAAGGUCUAGAGGACGACGAGACAAGCCAGGUUGAAAGCAAUCGAUAAAAGGUACAGAUGUUUAUUUUGGAGAUCCGUCAGCUUAGGAUUUCCAUUCAGCUAUGUUGGAAGUGCUCCACUAUUCCGGAGCCUAACAUUUGAUGUUGGUCAUUUGAUGUAUAUAUGUGUUUAUUCAGGGGUACGGUGGGGGCCUUAUCCCGCCAUAUGAUGCAGUUAAUUCUCUUAGAGGUCUGUAGACAUGUGUAUGUGGGUUGUUUAUAAGUUUGUUUCAGCUGUGCCUGUAUAUCGUGUUGUAAAGGUUAUUUUGUUAUGGCAACCCUAUCAGCUUGCAUGCCCUUUCAUGUUAUGAUACAAGUGAAAGAGGCUACAGGUAUAUGAAAAGAUUUUGACCCAUUGGGGUUUAUGGGUGUAGUAUCACAGUACGCAUAGUUCAAUUUGGCUAUAUUUGACAGUUACGUAUACGGAGCCCAGGUCAGACCCCAGUCGCGGCCUACGGGGUUGGGUUGUGAUACGUGAGUUAUCAUUGGAUUCGAGAAAAGAUAGAAGACGAAUCUAUGUAGGUUGAAAAAAUCUCUACAACUGAGAAUCCUACAGAUAUGCUGACCAAAGUGGUAACAAGGAACAAGUUCAAUUUGUGCAAAGAACUUGUUGACACGAUCUCUCUCUAAGAAGAUGAAGAUACCUCCUUCUAGUGAAUGAGAUUGGAAGAGUAGAUUUGUGUGGUCCAAUCCCUAUUUCGUUCAACAAAGUGGAGCCGCUCUUUUUUUUUGUCUUUAAUAUUUUAAAUUUAUAAUACAAUUUUU